GCAUAUCAAUAAGCGGAGGAAAAGAAACUAACAAGGAUUCCCCUAGUAACGGCGAGUGAACCGGGAAGAGCUCAAAUUUGAAAUCUGGCGUGCUCAGUGCGUCCGAGUUGUAAUCUAUAGAGGCGUUUUCCGUGCCGGACUGUGUCUAAGUCCCUUGGAACAGGGUAUCAAAGAGGGUGAUAAUCCCGUACUUGACACAAUGACCGGUGCUCUGUGAUACGUCUUCUACGAGUCGAGUUGUUUGGGAAUGCAGCUCAAAAUGGGUGGUGAGUUCCAUCUAAAGCUAAAUAUUGGCGAGAGACCGAUAGCGAACAAGUACCGUGAGGGAAAGAUGAAAAGCACUUUGGAAAGAGAGUUAAACAGUACGUGAAAUUGUUGAAAGGGAAACGAUUGAAGUCAGUCGUGACUGAGAGGCUCAGCCGGUUCUGCCGGUGUAUUCCCCUCAGUCGGGUCAACAUCAGUUUUGUUCGGUGGAUAAGGGCAGCUGGAAGGUGGCACCUCCGGGUGUGUUAUAGCCAGCUGUCGCAUACAUCGAAUGAGACUGAGGAAUGCAGCUCGCCUUUAUGGCCGGGGUCGCCCACGUCCGAGCUA
RNAcentral lists this ribosomal RNA (591 nucleotides) under Papiliotrema sp. RNAcentral's name for it is "partial large subunit ribosomal RNA". It matches the Rfam family "Eukaryotic large subunit ribosomal RNA", at positions 38 to 609 of the family's 3401-position model. Lineage: Eukaryota; Fungi; Basidiomycota; Tremellomycetes; Tremellales; Rhynchogastremaceae. The record is from RNAcentral.